This is a non-coding RNA of Phoenix dactylifera (date palm), 3360 nucleotides long. NCBI's taxonomy places the organism in Eukaryota, Viridiplantae, Streptophyta, Magnoliopsida, Arecales, Arecaceae. The record is from RefSeq and is a predicted model, not a curated record.
UAUUAUUACAAAUGGUAUCAGAGCGAACUCGGUUAAUAGUCUAUGUGGACUAGGAGACACUACAGCCGGGUUCAUUAAGGCUGACCACAGGGGCGAGUACAUCAACACUUGAAUGGGGGAGUCUGUAAUGACCCGUGCAGGCGUGUGUUUAUUCCUACAUCGGUUAUUUGCCGAGAAGAUCUUAGGUACUUAUAUAGAACAAAAAAAUCCAAAUAAUACCUUCUGGCUAGUUAUUUUGGGUGAGAUGCUGAAUUGUUAUAAUAAGUCAUGUUUGGUAACUCUCGUCAUGCUAAAUUUUCUAAGUUCCGCCUUCUCGUCAUGCUAUUUUUUUUUUUUUUAAAGUAAAUCUGGCAUUUCAUAUGGCUCUUAAACGAACACAGCAGCCCGUCAAGUCAUAAAAAAAGAAAACGAUACAAAUAGUGCUGCUAGCAGUACCUAAAUAGGAAUGUACCUAAAUAGGAACGGAGCAGCUGGCUGAGCAAGGGAGCAGGGGAGAGCCAUACUGCUCAAAAUUUUUUCCUUCCUCUGGCCUCUGAUCUACUCGUGGUGACUCCAGGUAUAAUGCCUCGCUGCCUGCUAUAUAAGGAUGAGCGCGGGGUUUAAAGCCUAAACACUCGUCCCUUAAGCUAAUGCAGAGUUAUCAGUUCGUUCAAACAUGUUAACGUCAUUUAAAACAUUACCACAAUAUAAAUUCAAAAAAACAAAAAGUUUUACAAGAUUUAAUAAAUCACAAAGACCAUGUGUUUGGCAAAAAUAAAGAGUAACUUUAAUCUUUGUUAUAUAUAUCUUAGAUCCUAUUUUGACAAGACAAGCAUCCGUGCAAUAAUAUUGAGAAUUAAAAGAAUAUGGUGUACAUAUACAUGAUUUGACAAGACAAGCAUCCGGUGCAUGUAUGUAGCUAAAUUAAAUCGCUCGCACACACAUAUCCGAAUGCUUAUGCAUGUUUGUUUUUCUCUUAUUUUUUUUUUCGAAGAGAUGAAGAUAGUGGCAAGAAUAUCCCUUCACCUGUCAAGAUCGAACCUAAAUUCUCUCCCUGUCUACGCCAUGAGAAGAGUCGCAAUUUUUAUCUGCAUUCACUAACCCAUCAAAACUCAUCCAAAAUAAUGGAUUUUGGUUUGAUUUUUUUUAAAAUAGAUAAUAUAAGUUAGUCAAGAUCAAUUAGAAUAUAAAUCAAAUGUUAUGAAUUAGUUAAGACCAAUUCUAUUAGAAAUGGAUCGGGUGUAGAUUUAGCCUGUCUCCCUGAAGGGUCAAUGCAAGUAUAAUAUAAAUCUUUAAAAUCUAUCUUUUAAUUGCUAAGAUCAAGAGUGGGUACAAAUACUAGAAAUGCAUAUUUAGAGAUAUUUUUAGUGAUCAAGCAUUUAGAAAGCAAGUGCAGAAUGAAAAUUUGAGAAAAAAUUUUAAUUGGAUGGGUUAUUCUAGAUAAAACAUUUUGGUUAAGUCAGAUUCAUCAUUAAAUUUUUUUAAAAAAGUGAUAGCUACAUCAUAUACCAUGCUCUAUAAAGAUUGUUGAUUUGACUAGAAAAGUUGCAUAACUAACAGUUAAGCAAAUAAAUAAGAUAUAAUAAAAAGAAAGAGGAGAGUGUAGCAUGUUUUGGAAUUAUCACUUUUUCCACUUAAAUUUUGUCCCACACUUUCUUACUUUGUUUGGAUCGGCCAUUCUAAAUACCUUAUUUUAAGAUUAUUUUGCUUUUAUUUAUUUUUAUAAAUAUAGAUAAGUAACAUGCUAUUUGAGGUUGAUAGGUAGGUAUAGGCUUUUAUGAAAUAAAUAGGUUGCGUAUGGAUUUGUUCUUUUGGAAUUAAUUAUGAUUGGUUGGUUAUGGGUUGAGGUUCUUAACUCAACCCCGAAUUGAUUUGAUCCAAACCUGACCUAAGCUAGCUCAUGGCCAGCCAUAAUUAUAGGGAUAGUGUUGUCAAUUAAUGUAUCCAAAUAUGGUCAGCAAACAAUUAUUGUUUUCAUCCAAUGGCUUAGAUCUUAAUUAGUUGACAACCAUUAAAGCAUAUGACUUAUCAUCCUAACCUCUCAAGUUCCUUUAGUUCUUGUUGAUAUAGCUUCUGCGACUUUUAAAAGUCUAACUUUGGGAGUUUUAAAUAUUUUCUUGUACUCUCAUUUUCUGGCCAUAAUUGUCUUAUGAUGCUUGUUGUCUCUAAUCUAGGCAGGACGCAUUGACGGAAAAAUUCCAAUACAAAAUUUACCUACACAAAUCAGAAUUAAAGCAAUUUACGUAAAGCUAAAAGACUUGAAAUGCCUACAUUUCAUGUUAGAAUGUGACCUGAAAAUAAGUGUCACGGACAGCUUGCUAGUAUUUGUCAUGUGUAUGUGUAUUGUGACUACUGGGACUGGGCCGCCAGAUGGGCCGACCUGGACCAAGGUCGGCAGCCCAUCUGGAGGCCACCACCUCCUAUGGUCCUACUUCGGAGAGGUACAGCUGCCGGCGGAAGGGAGAGACAGCUGCUGACCGCUAAAGUGGUUAUCACCGCUUAAGAAGCCCUAUUUUCUAGCCCUCUUAUCGUGCCCCUCCUUCUUCCUCAGAGAGGAAUUCCUGAACCAGCAACCACUGAGGCGCCGGAGCAGGGAUCGUUGCAGUUCACCCCCGAAAUAGACGGUGCGAGAGGGAAACAGACAGAUAGAUGACCAGUGUGCAGACCGUUGAAUUCAUUGCUUCGCUGCUAGCUCAAUCAGCCUUCAUUCAAGUGGGUUAAACAUAAAAUCUUGGGAGAGUUUCAUGAGUUCUUCGUCAGGAUUGGUAUAGCCAUCCACCCUUCUGUAAAGAAGACGGGCACCUCGAGCAUUACCCAGGACUGCACGGCUACAGAACUCCGGCGCUACUGCUCUUGAUCGAUAGAGCUCCCACUCCAGUUCCUGACAGGCCAACUCAAUCACACUGGUGAGACCUACCAUGGCUUCCACCUGCGUGCAGCCUGGGUGGUCCCUCAUGUAGCAGCCAACCCCUGUGGCCAGCUUUCCCUCCUCGAGCUCCCUCGAAGAGGAGGCAAGAUCAUUGGAAAGUCGGCAUACGACGGAAACGAGGUGCAUGAAGCGUGAGUCAGGACCAAUGUGGCGGAGCAUCUCAUCUGUGAUCUUCUCUCCCAGAAAGAAUGCAGAUGUCCCUGUUACCAUUUUCGUUCCAAUAGUGUCCUUGGCGCAUUGCAUGUAUUCUUCGUAGGUCGGAAUGCGUUCGCCGUGCAACCAUUCUGCUUCCUUUAGAAAGGAAGCUACAAAAUCUGCCCACUGAAAUGAACGCAUGCAUACGAUAUAUAAGCCUAUUGUUGUGCUUGUGAGAGAGCCUAUAUGGUUCAGGACUUCAAUUAGUUCAAAGAUAUGACAUGAGAAAUAUUCCAAUUAAAUAUGUUUUUAAAAAA